CCGGGCGCUGUGAGGAGAAAGGAGACGGCGGCGGGCGGCGAGAGGCGGGAGGGGGACGGACCCCGGGACUGAGGAGGAACACGCCACCUCGCCCUCGCCCUCUCCUGCGCGCUCCGGUCGCCCGCCCCACGCCUCUCGCCUCGCUGACCUCACGGACGAGCAGGAGGAGGCACCGGGCCCGAGCUGAGGCGGAGGUCCUCGCUGCAGCCCGGGCGCCCCAGCACGGAAGAUUCGCUGUGGAGGACCGCGCCCGGGAGGGAGGCGUCCGCGGCUCCGCGAGCGCCGGCUGCGCCAGACCAUGGCCUGAUGGAUGCCUGGUGUGGAUGAUGAGGGAAGAACGUGCCUCCCACACCCGAGAGGUGACCCCGGAGCAAGCCCGGGAUGCCCCAGCGACCAGGAACGAUGCGGCUGGCCUGCAUGUUCUCGUCCAUCCUGCUGUUUGGAGCCGCAGGCCUCCUCCUCUUCAUCAGCCUGCAGGACCCCACGGAGCUCGCCCCCCAGCAGGUGCCAGGUGAGCCCUCGCACUCGGCGCCACCGCCUGCUUGCCCCUGCUUUCCUGCCCGAGGUGCAGGCCUCCAACGCUGGCGCCAAGGCAGGGGUCCUGGUGCCCUGCCUCCCAGCAGGUGGAGGGGUCCUGGCCUCCUCCUGGCGGUCAUCAGCCUCAAUGUGGGAACACUGUCUGUUGUCAGACCACUAGCCCCAGGGUUCUGGCCUUUGACCUCUGACCUCUGGCCCACACACUCCUCUUGGGAAUAAUGAUCACCUGCCCGUCUCUUAGCUGGUGGUUGCCCUUGGUGAAACUCAGAUUUAAGGAGGAUUCUGUCAGAUUAUCUGGGACAUCAGAGGACAAAUAACUUCUCCCUGAGCCCAGGCCUCCAAAAUGGGACUCUGAUUCUCUGUCCAGCCCCAGGGACCCCCCUCAAAUCCAGCCCCUCUAGCCCGGGCAGGCAGGUUGAGCUAAUUCCUGGCUUUGGGAAGCUGAGGCAGCUCCUGCCAGCCCCUGACCUGCUGCCUCCUAUCCCAUUGGAGGGAAGCACCCUCCCUGACAUGCAGAGGUGGGAUGGCAGUGAUGGGGAGAGCAGGAAGGAUGGUUCUGGAGCCUCAGGCUGGCCUGGAUGUGGAGAGGGGAGCUUGGCAAGGCCCCUCUGGCUGGGAGAGCACAGCAGGGCUGGAGGGCGGCAGGUGUAUGGCUGAGACCAUGGAGCGCGCUGUUUUGGGAUGAAGGAAGGCAUCAUUGCUGGGCCAGAGCACCGGUGUGUCCCAGCAGUGGUCCUGGGGGCCAUGUUAGGGGAGGGGCCAUGAAGAUGCUCCAGAGCUUCAGGAUACGAACCAAACUGUAUGAAAGAGGCGUGGAGGCUUGGGGGAUGGGCGGAGGGAUUCCUGCACCAUCCCUGCCCACAGCCUGUGGCACAGGAGUGCUGGGCAGGGCAUGGGGCACCUGGCCCUCCCAGCCCCACCCUCAGCCAUGGCUCACACUCUGCAGGCAGCCUGCACCCACCCUGAGCUCAGAUUGAGGGCUCAUAGGCACCACAUGGAAAGGCAGAAGGAGCACGAGGAGGCCAGAGCUGAGGCCACAGGCCUGGCAGCUUGCCAUCAGAGGCCCUGGUGGGAGAGGCCGAUGAGUUGAUUCUUCCGUCCCAGAGAAGCAGCCAGGAGAUGGCAGGUGAGUCACUGGUGCUGACUCACGCCUGGACUGGACCCUCCUAGGGCUGGCUGUCAGAGCUGGGUCUGGCUGCUUCCUGGCUUCUGACGAAGCAAGGACCCGUGACCAAGCUGACUCCUUUGCUGAGACUUUGCAGCCUCCUGUGAGCCCCAGAGUGGCCGAUGACCCGGGGUCCACAGAACUGGGCUCCACGGGCAGUGCUGUCAGGGGGCACUGAGAGUUGAUCUCUGCAGUUGGGUGUAGGAUGGCACGAAGCUGCGGUGAGCCUCCCCCUGCAGACCCAGGUGAGGAGCACACUGGGAUCUGGAGCUGCCUCCUUCUGGCCAUAAGUGGAGCUGGACCACCCUCGCCACGUGCCAGGUGAGGGGCAACCUGGACGUUCUAUGGAAAUCACAUCAAACACAGUCAUAAAACUUUAAGUAAUGCUUACGUUACUUUCCCUGAGCAAAGUGUUCCUGACACAGGCUGUUUGUGUUGAUUUGUUACUAUUCAUUUAUUCUUUCCCUGUACUUCUCACAGCAGCCUAAUUGUGAUUCGGUACCAAGAAAGCAAUAUCAAAGUAAUUUUCCACAACAUUAGUUACAAUUUUCUUCUGAUCUUUCAAGUGAAACAAUCCCAUCCUGUUGGCUUCUCUGAGCACAUAAACCUUGAUUACAUUUAUCUGUUGGAAACCGGUGCUUACAAAGUGUAUGUAUCCAGUUGCAUGGGUGGGUGGCCCCAAGGGUCCCGGACAAGCCGAGAUUUCUACCCGUGGAUGGGAGGUGUAGACGAGGGAGGCUGCCCUGCUCUCUGGAUCCGGCAAGGCUGAUGGGGGGGAGGGGCUACUCUGACUUUCGCAGCGGCAGAAACUUCUUUGGGAAUGGAGCAUCUGGGACCUCCACUGGUGGCACUGACCAAGGUGGGAGGGGCGCGGGUGGGCAGGUGAAAAUCCAGAAACGAGCUUGAGAGGGCAGGCAGAGCCUUGAGUUAUUUGUGGUUCCUUGGGGUUGAGCUGUCCUUCAGAUUUCUCCCGUGCAGCAAUCAGGUGUUAGCAGCACCUGAACUUCUCAGAGACGUCAGCAAAUCUCACCUGGUUUUAUGCAUUAGAUACCAUCCUAUGGGGCUGCCAACUUUUGUAAACCUAGCAAUAUUUCCCAAAAUGUUUACCCUAUUUUCAAUCAGAUCUUUUGAAAACAAAUUGCUGUCAGUUAACCUACCUUCAUUCUAAGAUUAGAUUUUCUUGAGUAGUGGAGAAGUCACCUACCCAGCUCUUUUCCAAGUCUCCAAGAUUGCCAGGCCCUGAGGCCUCAGGAAACUCACUUCUUGCCCCAGGAGACUCCACUUGCCUCUUCCCUAAGUGGAAGACUCGGAGAGCAAGCCAGACAGGAAAUGGCACAUCCCAAGGUGUUGGCCCUGGGAGUGCAGGAGGCACCCUCCACGUGUGUGUUUGGGCAGCCUGACUUUUUAUAAGCUGCCUUUCUUUAUAAACUUUCUAUACUAGAGAGAUUGGAACACACACAAAAGUAAUUUAGGGGAGUUCCCUGGUGGCCUGGCAGAUUCAAGAUCCGGCAUUGCCACUGUUAUGGCGUGGGUUUGAUCCCUGGCCUGGGAACUCCUGCAUGCUGCAGUCAUGCCCCCCUCCCCAAGUAGAUUGGAAAAGUGCAAUGAACCCCAUGCACCCAACACCCACCACCCCCAAUGGCCCCAUCCACAGCCCCAUCCAUUUCUCUCAUUUCGAAGCAUAUACCAAAUGGCCUAUUAAUUCAGCCAUAAGCAUUUCAAUAUAUUUCUCAGUUUAAAAGAUAAGAACUCUUUUUAAAUAUGCAACAUUUCUUUGAUAUCAUCAAACGUCCAGUGUUCAAAUUUCUGGUUGUCCCACAAAUGUCAUAAUUAUCUUUAUUUCUAGUAUCACGUUAUCUAGAUAAGGCCCACAUGUUGCAGUUGGUGGAUGAGUUGUUGAACUUGCUCUCAGUCUGAGUCUCUGCACAUCUUUUUUUUUUUUUAAUUUUAAAAAUAAAUUUAUUGGAGUUCUCAUCCUGGCUCAUUGGAAACAAAUCUGACUAUUGUGGAAGGACGCAGGUUCGAUCCCUGG
RNAcentral lists this long non-coding RNA (3734 nucleotides) under Sus scrofa (pig). RNAcentral's name for it is "lncRNA (ENSSSCG00015033987.1)". The record is from RNAcentral. Lineage: Eukaryota; Metazoa; Chordata; Mammalia; Artiodactyla; Suidae.